Molecule: ribosomal RNA, 254 nt
Filed under: uncultured bacterium
Lineage: Bacteria
Description: partial 16S ribosomal RNA
Rfam family: Bacterial small subunit ribosomal RNA
Source: RNAcentral
UACGUAGGGGGCGAGCGUUGUCCGGAUUCAUUGGGCGUAAAGAGCUCGUAGGCGGCUUGGCAAGCCGGGUGUGAAAACUCCAGGCUCAACCUGGAGACGCCACCCGGGACUGCUAUGGCUAGAGUCCGGUAGGGGAUCACGGAAUUCCUGGUGUAGCGGUGAAAUGCGCAGAUAUCAGGAGGAACACCGGUGGCGAAGGCGCCACUCUGGACCGACAUUGACGCUGAGGAGCGAAAGCUAGGGGAGCAAACGGG